This is a long non-coding RNA of Neltuma alba, 349 nucleotides long. RefSeq lists it as uncharacterized. The record is from RefSeq and is a predicted model, not a curated record. The transcript is spliced from 3 exons. Lineage: Eukaryota; Viridiplantae; Streptophyta; Magnoliopsida; Fabales; Fabaceae.
ACUCUGUACUCAUCAUCUAACAUGUUCUGGCAUAGCUCACUUAUUUGUUUACUUAGACCAGAAGAAACAUCCAAAGAGUUGCACUCAGAAACCAGCUGUCUAGCAACUUUAACUUCUUGGUUCAGGACACCCAGGGAAUUUUUCAAGCUUUCUGCAUGGUGUAUGUCUUCUUUUGAUAGUCCUUUUAAUAUUAAUGAGACUUUCUCCAGCUUAAAAUGCAGGGGAAGAAGCCGGAAAAUAAAUUCGCCCUCAAGAUAUCGAGUGUUGCCAAACUCAAAUAAAUGAAAUAUAUAUAAUUCUACAGCUCAUUUUCUCACAAACCAGGCAAAGAGAAAUGGAGAAGCUGACC